GCUGUAGCCUCAGUCUUUUUA
Molecule: microRNA, 21 nt
Filed under: Macaca fascicularis (crab-eating macaque)
Lineage: Eukaryota; Metazoa; Chordata; Mammalia; Primates; Cercopithecidae
Description: novel_miR49-3p
Source: RNAcentral